CUACGGGUCGCUCCAGUGAGGAAUAUUGCACAAUGGGGGGAACCCUGAUGCAGCAACGCCGCGUGGAGGAUGACGCAUUUCGGUGUGUAAACUCCUUUUAUAUGUCAAGAAAAUGACGGUAGCAUAUGAAUAAGCACCGGCUAACUCCGUGCCAGCAGCCGCGGUAAUACGGAGGGGUGCAAGCGUUACUCGGAAUCACUGGGCGUAAAGGACGCGUGGGCGGGUUGGAAAGUCAGGUGUGAAAUCCUACAGCUUAACUGUAGAACUGCACUUGAAACUUCUAAUCUAGAGUAUGGGAGGGGGAGAUGGAAUUAGUGGUGUAGGGGUAAAAUCCGUAGAUAUCACUAGGAAUACCUAAAGCGAAGGCGAUCUCCUGGAACAUUACUGACGCUAAGGCGUGAAAGCGUGGGGAGCAAACAGGAUUAGAUACCCUAGUAGUC
Molecule: ribosomal RNA, 440 nt
Filed under: uncultured bacterium
Lineage: Bacteria
Description: partial 16S ribosomal RNA
Rfam family: Bacterial small subunit ribosomal RNA
Source: RNAcentral